This is a long non-coding RNA of Vidua chalybeata, 2059 nucleotides long. RefSeq lists it as uncharacterized. Lineage: Eukaryota; Metazoa; Chordata; Aves; Passeriformes; Viduidae. The transcript is spliced from 2 exons. The record is from RefSeq and is a predicted model, not a curated record.
CAGGGCGGGCGCCAGGGGGCGCCUCCCGGCCCGGCCCCUCAGGGCGGGACCCGCGGGACCCUCAGGGCGACCCCGGCCCGGCCCUGCCCGCUCCCCUGCCCGCACGUCCCCCCGGCACCCCGCCACCUUCCCCGAGCCAAACAUGCGCCUGGGUUGCCCGAGGUAACGCGCAGAGCGUUGUGGAGAGGAGAGCAUCCUCCCCGUGGCUCCCCACGCACCGUGGUACGGGGUAUAUGGACACCGGAGGGAGGUUCCUGUGGGAGUAAUCCCUCAAAAAAACCUCCUUGCGAUGGCACACGGCCAGGCAGCGGCGUCGGUUUGUGGCAGGUGAUCGCAGAGUCACUGAGGCUGGAAAAGCCCUCUCAGCCCGUCGAGUCCGAGCUGUGCCCGAUGCCCGCCUCGCCCCCGGCCCAGAGCACUGAGUGCCGCAUCCAAACCUCCCUGGGCAGCCCCUUCCAACGUCUAAUCACCCCUUCUGUGAAGAAAUUCCUCCUGAUGGCCAACCUGAACCUCCACUGGCUGCAGCUCAAGACUCUGUCCUCUGUUUCUUAUCAGCACUCAGGAAAUAUUUCGCUACGGAACAACUGAAGGAAUUCAUGGGAAUCCAGAAUCCAGCAGCCGUUCCUGACUCGCAGUGAAUGCGUGGGAUUGGAGUUCAGGAUGUCACCCUGCCCAAAAGGACUCAUCCAAGCAGCAGCCCCGCCGUGCAAAGCCCAUUUAUCUUCUGAGAAGAAAAGACCAGCAAAAACAGCCCUGCCAGCCCUUGGGUUCAGUCCUUGUGCUGGCUUUGCAAUAUUUUUUUUUUUUUUUUUGCUUUCCACUCAAAAAUUGCGAGACUGCAUCUUCCUUAAGCUGCCCUUGUAGGCUCACUGACAGAAAAUGUGUAUUUCUCCACAUCCUUGCUUUUCCCUCAUGGGUUUUACAUCAUUUGAUACAUGAUUUUUUUGUUCCCCCUGCUGCAUUUACUACUUUUUAUUUCAGGCUUUCUCAGAUGUUUUAGCACUUUCUUAUUUCCAUGGUUUCAUUCCCUAUUCCCAGACUCUGUUAGACAAUGCCUCGGGCUUGGUGUUGCAUUGGGAAGCUCAUCCUGGACCAGCUGCAUCCACCCCUUCUCCCUCAGUCAGCAUAAAAGAAAAGCACCUGAGAUGUUCCAGCAGAGCAGGGCUAGAGAAAAUCCCUUUGUCCAGCAAGCAAACAACCAGGACUGGAGUCAGGACAAGUAAAAUGUAAUUACUUAUGGAGACUGAAAUAGAAAUUUGUCUUCAUUUGCAAUUAAAUUAGUUCCCUAUAAACAUUGAGAGCUGUUGCAGGGGGAAGGUAAUGUGAUUUCUCUCUCCCAGACUAAUUAUUUACUAAAUUCUCUUUCUGACUCCACUGAACAAGUUGGUGCAUUUCUCAAAACAUAGCUGUAGAAAAAAAGGGGGACAAUUUUUUUUAAUAAGACUUGGAUAAGUCAUGUAAAAUAAAUAUUCCUUGUCUUUAGGAAUUUUACCACAUCUGCACUUAGAAAUCAUCCAGAAAAUGAAAAUGUAUCCCUUGCUCUUGGCAUCUAGGCAAGAUGAUGGAAGAGAUGCUGGGGUAAAUUCUAAAUGCUGCCUCAACUGUGCAACAAUGGAAAUUUCCAGAAAUAAUUGUUAUAGAUUAGACUGCAUAAAAAGAUAUAAAAAUACAAGGAACAUCUUAGAACCGUAGACUCGUAGAGGGGCUUGGGUUGGAAAAGAGUUAUGACCAACUGAAAAAAAAUAACUCCAAAGAAUUCUAUGACUCUAAGAGAUUUUAAUCUCUGCAGAACAGAAGCAUUCUGCAUAGUGAAAAAGGUCCCUGGAUAGUAAAAGAAGGAGAACAUGUGGGCAAAUUGAAUUUGAAAAUAUUUACCAGAGCAAAAGCAAAUCCUGGGCUGCAUCUCCCAAUGACCUGACGUUUUGAUGUUGCUGACUUUAUUGCUAAGGCCUUGUCUUUGGCUUUAGCUCAAAAAUCUGCUGGUGUCUCCUUCCAGGUUUACCUUGUAGGAGUUUGCCAUUUGUUCUAGACUUAAACAAUAAAAUACAAGAGGAAUGAC